GACGAACGCUGGCGGCGUGCUUAACACAUGCAAGUCGAACGGAAAGGCCCUGCUUUUGUGGGGUGCUCGAGUGGCGAACGGGUGAGUAACACGUGAGUAACCUGCCCUUGACUUUGGGAUAACUUCAGGAAACUGGGGCUAAUACCGGAUAGGAGCUCCUGCUGCAUUGUGGGGGUUGGAAAGUUUCGGCGGUUGGGGAUGGACGCGCGGCUUAUCAGCUUGUUGGUGGGGUAGUGGCUUACCAAGGCUUUGACGGGUAGCCGGCCUGAGAGGGUGGCCGGCCACAUUGGGACUGAGAUACGGCCCAGACUCCAACGGGAGGCAGCAGUGGGGAAUAUUGCACAAUGGGAGGAAGCCUGAUGCAGCAACGCCGCGUGCGGGAUGACGGCCUUCGGGUUGUAAACCGCUUUCGCCUGUGACGAAGCGUGAGUGACGGUAAUGGGUAAAGAAGCACCGGCUAACUACGUG
RNAcentral lists this ribosomal RNA (468 nucleotides) under uncultured bacterium. RNAcentral describes it as "partial 16S ribosomal RNA". It matches the Rfam family "Bacterial small subunit ribosomal RNA", at positions 28 to 507 of the family's 1533-position model. The record is from RNAcentral.